AAAAGAGGCUGCAGAUUCUUAGUGGACAGCUCUCAUAUCCCCUCCAGGGAAAAUGAUGAAAAAUGUCUUCAGAAAAAUAGCUUUAUGAAGGCAAGAGGACUUUUUGCACCUGCAAGACAUGUCUGAAAGCUCCUCAGGUCAAAACACAAGUAGUCAAGAGAUUUGUCCAUCUAAUUCAUCAUACUACUCUGAUCCAAGUGAGACCCACACUGGGUCAGCUCCAUCAAGGAGAAGAACAUUCCACCCACGUUUGGAUUCUGGAAUAUCAUCCUUGCUUCCAUCAGAUUCUUGUAAGUACCUCACUUGGCACAAGGUAGACAUGACGUUCAAGGAAGUCAACUGCGUUGCCCAAGAGUAAGAGAAGGUAAAAGAAUAAAUGUGUGCCUUUUUCGUGUACAUCCUCUGAAUAGAAUUUUUUGUGGAUUAAAAGACAUUACUUGAAGAAAAAAAAAAGACACCAUUUGGAGGAAUCUCUGAAGAAGAGCAACUUUUCAGACAGGUAGAGUGUGCCUUGCUCCCAAGGAAAAGAGUUCUUGAAAAAAACAAAUGGGAAACAUGGCUACAAGAAAACUGGGAAGACUGCAAGAAUUUGAACAUUUCAUUUCAGGGUUUGGGGGAUCCUUACCAAGUUGAAAAUUUUAACAGAAUUCUUAGAAGACUAAUUCGAGUUGAAACCCUCUGGUUAGUGGAUAAUUCACUGGUGGACUUAAGUGCCAUAAGAUUGCCAAGAGUAUUCUCCUGUUUGCCAAACUUAAAAAUGCUGGAUGGAAUCUUGAAGCUACCAGAAGAUUGCUUAUCACCAGAAACCAAUAUUUUUUCAAAAAUAUGCCUUGUAUCCUAAUGCAGUCUGUAUAGAAAGAAAGCAAUCAUCAUUGUUGCUAAAAGCUAAUAAACACAGGACAUGCAUGAUUAAAUAUUGCAGUUUAUUUUAUAUCUUUUUGCUUUUCUAAAUCAAGGCAAAAACAUGCUAACUGACAAGAAAAUCAUGGGUUUUAUACAAGGAUAACAAGUGCUGGGUUGCUUAGCUAUGAGGAAGGCUAGGCUCACUGCAUACCAGAAGAUGUACAGCGUUGGAGAAUUCAGGGAUUUUUAUCAACAAUCAAACUAUAUUUGUGGAAAUUUUGUGCAUAAGUGCCAAAGAUGGCUGACAUCGGACCACAUUCUAUUUAACUCAACUGAAUGACACCAAGCUCUCAUCCUAAAACUUAUAGUUACAUCCACCCUUCUGAAAUAUUUAAUUAUUCUCCAAUACACUGGAGGUAAUAGGUAUAAAAAGAAUGAGCAUGUGCAACUUAGUAUCUCAUAUCUAAUUUUGUGUCCCAAGUUCAUUCUUCCCCUGAAUGUCCCAUGUCUACCAGGUGCAGGAUUAUCUGGAUGGGUCAGUUCAAAACAAUUUCAGGGAAUAAAUUGUGUAGGGGACUCAAUUUUCUGAGACAGAAACAUAAUGUGAAUAACUCCUUUGUUAGAAAAUAAUUUCAGUGACAGAAAGCCUUUCAGUUCAUAAAGAAAACUUACAUAUCAACAAGCCUAGCUCCUCACUAGUCCCAGUGAAUGCUUACAUCAAUCAGCUCUACAAUAUCCAGUAAAGGACUUUCCAAUUCGCCUUUGAAUAAACUGAGGUAUUGGAAACAUCU
This is a long non-coding RNA of Homo sapiens (human), 1634 nucleotides long. Ensembl annotates it as leucine rich repeat containing 77, pseudogene. Its record names the gene LRRC77P. The record is from Ensembl. Lineage: Eukaryota; Metazoa; Chordata; Mammalia; Primates; Hominidae.